UCUCCGUUGGUGAACCAGCGGAGGGAUCAUUAUCGAGUUUAUAACUCCCAAACCCUAUGUGAACUUACCACUUGUUGCUUCGGCGCGCGCUUCGGCGCCGCCGAGGACACUUAAACUCCUUGUUUUUAUAAGCAUUUCUGAGUGGCCGAAAGGCAAAAUACAAAUGAAUCAAAACUUUCAACAACGGAUCUCUCGGUUCUG
RNAcentral lists this unclassified non-coding RNA (201 nucleotides) under plant metagenome. RNAcentral describes it as "partial contains small subunit ribosomal RNA, internal transcribed spacer 1, and 5.8S ribosomal RNA". The record is from RNAcentral.